Molecule: non-coding RNA, 2278 nt
Organism: Camellia sinensis
Lineage: Eukaryota; Viridiplantae; Streptophyta; Magnoliopsida; Ericales; Theaceae
Source: RefSeq, a predicted model, not a curated record
UCUCUCUCUCUCUCUCUCUCUUCCUCCAGAUCUACUUUCUCUCUCUGUGUCUACUUUUCUCUCUCUCUUCAAACCCCCGACCUCCGCCGUCUCCAUUGAGAAAGAGAGCACAUUGUGAGUUAAAUCAGUGGGGGAAGUGCGAGUCAGAGAUCGGGGUGUAAUCAUAGCCGUAAAAGGAGGAUGAGUAAAGGAGAGAGAAGACUAGGGUGGCGAUGGCAAUGCCAACGAGGAUGAAAAUGAGUCAUUGCUCUCAAAGCAUGUAGCGAAUCGAAUGAAUCACAAAGACCCAUGGCUUGUGCAACUUCGACGGGACGAGUUGUUCAUGGCAGAGAGAUAAUGGUUCAGUUCGCUAAGUAUGGGCCGAAAUGUUGAGAAAAUGAAAUGAAGUGGUCGUCUUCAAAAAUAGUCCCAUUAUAUGGCAUUUGGGUCAAAGAAGUUGGCGAACAUUUGGGAGAUGUGAUAUGAUGAUGAGAGGCAUAGUCGGAGCCGUUCUUAUGAAAGUGUCUCCCCUGCUCGUCGUACCCCUAAUCCUCGGAGGAGCCCCUCUCCUCGCAGGACACCUCCAUCUAGAGGUGGGAGUCCUGAUGGACGCAAUCACAAAGAAUGCUCACCUACUCUAAAAAGUGUUUCUUUGUGUGGUAGACCUGCUGAUUCUCAGAGCCCUUCCCGACAUUCCAAUGCUGCUGAAUAGGGAGUGAUAUAGUAUGUGAUGAAUCUUCAGCUCGUAUUCUACUCGUCGUGCUGUGUAGUUGAAACUGCUUUGGGGGAGGACAUCUUGAGAUUUUCAAUGUUAUUAUCAAAUCAUUGAAUGCUAGAAUUGAUUGCUCAGGGCUGAUAUAUAAGGUUGACUAUUUUGUUGUACUUGAUGCAUCCUUAAGUUUUGAUGGUACUGUUGCACUCCAGUUGUCAUGGGUUGGCUGCAUUUUUAAUAUUUCUUUGUUCUUUUACCUUGUUUUUAAAUCAUAUUUAAUUCUGUUUGCAUCUUUGUUAAUAUCUAUUCAGAUAACUGACCUUUUUUAGUUGUGAUGGACCGUGUACUGGCCUUCUAUAUUGUGUCUGGGAAAAGUGAAUGUGGUUGACUUGCUGAUGAUGUAGCAGCUGUUGAUGCUGUGUUUAUUUUUCGGUUGGUUGAUAUCGUUCUUGCUGCUUGCGAAGUACAUUGUUUUUUACAAAUUUUCUCUGAUGAUGUCAUCAUUGGCAGUUUAGCUGAUGCAGUUAAACUGUUGGACCAGAUAUAUCAUAGUGCCGAUUUUAAUAUGAACCUGCUUGAGCUGGAUAUUGUAGCAUGAGGUUGGGCAUGGUGACAUAGUUACAUACUUUUUACCAAUGUUUGGUUAGACUUCCCCUCAUUUAUUCUUGGCUAUUAGACUGUUACCAAUUGAUGUGGCAUGUAUCAAUGUGUUUUCGUACAUGCACCGAUGACUAUGGUUUUGAGCUGAUACCAGUUGCAUAUUGUGACAGCACAUGAGGUCGUGAAUGUAUAUGUGAAGUGAUAGCCGAUAUCUUCAUACAUCGGUUGUUGCUGCACUUCUUGCUGAUAGCUUUUGAACCUGGUCUUACCAUUUUUCGUGUUGAUAAGUGAUGCUUGGUUUGGUAGCUGUUGUGCUCCAGUGGCUGUGCUUUGUUUCAUUGCCUUCCAGUACAUCUUGCUGACGCUGAAUUUUAAGUUUUGGUUUCUUAGUCCAUUGCAUUGCUCUUGAAGGUAUUUUUUUGCAGUCAUCCAAUAUUUUGUCAACUUUGUUGCCUGUUUCAUGCAUAUUUGGAUUAUGUAUCUGUUUAUUUUUUAAUUGCAUUUUGUUGAAUCUGAUAACACUUCAAUUUGUGAGGAUGCUUUUUAGCUAUGGCAAUUUUAUAUCAUUACAAUAAUGAUUAACUUAUCCAAUAAAAUAUUCAGCAAGGCUCAUGGUUGCCUUUGUAGUGAAGGUUGAAAUGCUGAAGUUUUUCACUGGGUUAAACCUUAACAACUCUCUAUAGCCAUUGUUUUAUUGGCUUUCGGGCUAGCAUUAUUGUCUGUGCUUUCCUCCCCUUUCAUCCUAGUAGCUGUUGACAUGAAAACUGGUGUUCAAUUAUUAUUAUUUUUCACUUGGGUAAUACUUGUUGCAGGGGAAAUCAUUUCCGGGGGAGAUAUCACCAAAAAAUGUUUGUGUUUACGCGAGGAACUCCUAUUAAGGGGGAGGGAAAGGGUUAUGACCAUUUAUGAGUGAAUUUACUAAAAUAGCUUUGUGGACUUCUAUCAACCAGCUGUCUAUUUGGCCGGUCAUCUAUCAAUAUUUUGUAG